CCUAACGUACAAUACCGACCCUGUGGAUAACUCAUCGAAAGCAAAACUGAUGCAAACCAUCCAGCUAGCCAUCAGCCAGACGGAAAACGACGUGUCCGGCAGUGAAAGCGUUAAAUGAGAUCGCCCCUCCAGCCAAGAAAUUAAAGGGACCAAACAUUCCUUAAAUGGCGGAGGGGCACUACACCAUGUUUGCUGACUUGCAAGGGCACUUCAUGAGGAAUUUCUACACGAAAGGCACCCAGGGGGAACCUCAAAUGUACACAGCCGUAAGGGCACCUUAUAUGACAUCGCAUCACGUUUUCUCCAAUGGAGAGGCAUCCAUUAGGACAAUUCCCCACAUUGUCACACAUGGACUGCCCCACUAGAAAGGCACCUAUUUGGACACUUAGUCAUGUAGGCGUGGUAGAGAGGCCAAUUCAUAACAGCACCCUUUUACAUUGGAAGGGCACGAUACAAAGCAAUGCAUCCCACUUCCUCCACUAGAAGGGCACUCAACGUCACAUUUCCUUGCUGAUCCCGAGAUGCUGGGUUGCCAACUCUCAUUCAUGACACACUUUGAGCCCUUUAUCUCGCACUAGAAAUCUUACGGCAAAUCUGUAUUACUCCAUUAUAAACCUAAAAUUAGCUACUUCAAAAGCAUUGGUGCAGUUUGCGAACCCUACAGACUAUUUUGAAGGUAAGAAAUGUACACAGGCCUACAUGUAAGUGUAUGUGCAUCCGUGUGCAUAAGCACAGGCAAGCAUGAGAGACUUGUCUCAAAUUGAAAAACUAGCCAGAUGACCAAAGUUGCCAACCCUAUAGAUGGAGCUAAAUCAUGUUGAAGGGCAACCAAAGGCAGCGUUUUCGCCACUUUAAAGGGCACUUUAACGACAUUUUUUUUCAGGCAUGGGGGCAUUGGGAGGGUUGCCUCCCUGAUUGAACAGGCUAGGCCAAUGUGACUCAAUCAUAUGCCGCUUUGGACAAAAGCAACUCCUAAAUAAAAGUAAAUGUAAAUGUA
This is a non-coding RNA of Paramormyrops kingsleyae, 997 nucleotides long. The record is from RefSeq and is a predicted model, not a curated record. Lineage: Eukaryota; Metazoa; Chordata; Actinopteri; Osteoglossiformes; Mormyridae.